GGUUUUGUGGUAUAAUGGUGAUUACGCGGGACUGCAGAUCCUGUAAUCUCGGUUCGAGUCUGAGCGAAGCCU
RNAcentral lists this transfer RNA (72 nucleotides) under Candidatus Hodgkinia cicadicola. RNAcentral describes it as "tRNA-Cys". It matches the Rfam family "tRNA". From Rfam's summary of the family: Transfer RNA (tRNA) molecules are approximately 80 nucleotides in length. Lineage: Bacteria; Pseudomonadati; Pseudomonadota; Alphaproteobacteria; Hyphomicrobiales. The record is from RNAcentral.